AGAGCGUCCGAUACGUUGAGAGAACGACGCUGCCUCGGAUUACCUCUCGGCCGCCAACGUCGAAAGUGAUCACCGGCCUGCCCUAUUCGAGUCGCAGAGUGUAUUAGGCAGCGGAGCAAAGCAAGAAUUCGGAGAAGACUUCAGUGUCAAGGAUAAGAGCGCGAGAAUCGAUCAGGAUCGAAUACCGUCUCAGCACAGGCGUCCGGCACGAUGAGGCUCCGUGGCGCAAUCAAACAAGUCGACUUCAAGUCUAGCAUGGGAGUUAUCAUACCGAGCUUAAAUUCUCUAGAAUAUGACGAGGAAGUGGAGCUUCCCUUUUACUUCGAGAGUCUCAGCAUGCCGAAUUCUGAGAAGCCGUACCUCGUCGCGGGACUCCAGGUAUUUUUUCAGUCGCCCAGAGUCGAGGUGGAAUCGACGUUGUCGAUAUUUCUCCAGCCGUCGUCGGGCGUUAUCGAGCAAGGUGCAUCCUGAGCGGGAGCCUACAAGUUUUCAUCCCAGAUCUUCAAAUCGCAGCGGAAAUCAAAGAGUCGUCCACGUUUGACCUCGGUGGUGCGGACUACUUCCAAAGGAAUGAUGAAAUUUUGGUUAUGUUGAGAUGGGAAGAAAUACUCGCUUCGCAGUCAGAGCAACGAGUACCGCAGGUUGAGGCUUGUGCGUCGCUCAUGGCGCGCGGUUAUCCGUUCCUCAC
RNAcentral lists this unclassified non-coding RNA (688 nucleotides) under Galendromus occidentalis (western predatory mite). Its description in RNAcentral is "uncharacterized LOC100901164, transcript variant X2". Lineage: Eukaryota; Metazoa; Arthropoda; Arachnida; Mesostigmata; Phytoseiidae. The record is from RNAcentral.